UCCAGACUCCUACGGGAGGCAGCAGUGGGGAAUAUUGCACAAUGGGGGGAACCCUGAUGCAGCGACGCCGCGUGAGUGAAGAAGUAUUUCGGUAUGUAAAGCUCUGUCAGCAGGGAAGAAGAAAGACGGUACCUGACCAAGAAGCCCCGGCUAACUACGUGCCAGCAGCCGCGGUAAUACGUAGGGGGCAAGCGUUAUCCGGAUUUAUUGGGUUUAAAGGGUGCGUAGGCGGAAUGCCAAGUCAGCGGUAAAAUCGCGGGGCUCAACCUCGCUCCGCCGUUGAAACUGGCGUUCUUGAGUGGGCGAGAAGUAUGCGGAAUGCGUGGUGUAGCGGUGAAAUGCAUAGAUAUCACGCAGAACUCCGAUUGCGAAGGCAGCAUGCCGGCGCCCAACUGACACUGAAGCACGAAAGCGUGGGUAUCGAACAGGAUUAGAUACCCCCGUAC
Molecule: ribosomal RNA, 446 nt
Filed under: uncultured bacterium
Lineage: Bacteria
Description: bacterial SSU rRNA
Rfam family: Bacterial small subunit ribosomal RNA
Source: RNAcentral